GACGAACGCUGGCGGCGUGCCUAACACAUGCAAGUCGAACGGAAAGGCCCUGCUUUUGUGCGGUUCUCGAGGGCCGAAGGCGUGAGUAACACGUGAGUAACCUACCCUUCUCUUUCGGAUAACUUCAGGAAACGGGGGCUAAUAUCGGAUAGGAGCUCCUGCACCAUGGUGGGCGGUGGAAAGUUUCGGCGGUAGGGGAUGGACUCGCGGCUUAUGAGCUUGUUGGUGGGGUAGUGGCUUACCAAGGCUGUGACGGGUAGGCGGCCUGGGAGGGGGACCGGGGUCAAUGGGACUGAGGUACGGCGCAGUCUGGAACGGGAGGCAGUGGGGGGAAGUAUUGCACAAUGAGCCCGAGUGUGUGGCGGAGGCGUCGCGUGCGUAAUGACGGCCUUCGGGUUGAGAACAGCUGUCGCCUGAUACGACGCGUUAGUGACGGUAAUGAGUAAAGAAGCACCGGCUAACUACGUG
Molecule: ribosomal RNA, 468 nt
Filed under: uncultured bacterium
Lineage: Bacteria
Description: partial 16S ribosomal RNA
Rfam family: Bacterial small subunit ribosomal RNA
Source: RNAcentral